CACUGUGCAAGAAACCAAGGGGAAUGACACUUCAGGACGGCAAAUGAAAAGCCUGAUGGCAGAAACCCUAGCAAAGUCAACCAACACACAUUCCCAGAUCCCAAAUGCAGACCGUAGAGAUCUGACUUAAUUUUCAAUAUGCUAAAGGUAAAGUGGAGUCCCUGGGUGGCGCAAAUGGUUAAACACUGGGCAACUAACCAAAAGGUUGAAAUGCAAGGUGCCUUGGGAGAAAGGCCUGGCAACCUGUUUCCAAAAGUCACAGUUAUGAAAACCCUACAAGCUACUCUAUACACACAGGGUUGCUAUGAGUCAAAAUCGACUACAUAGCAACUGGUUAGUUGGUUAACAGUCAGGCGGGUACCCAAGAUUUCAGACAAGUCAAAACGCUUCUUUAAGAUACCAAGGUGCCAGGAAAAGGCAGUCUUUGUCAGUUACUAACAAAGCUGAAGGUUGCACUGGGUGGACCAUCUUACUGGUUCCUUCAUUACUUACUUACUUAAAAUCUUUGACACAGGUUCAUUUUACAUUUGUUCAAGAGCCAUGAUUUCAUCUUUUUUUUUCUUUCUUUCUUACUCUUGGAGAGUUUUGGAGGUCAUCCUUCAAGACACCCAUGGACCUACCAAACAGAGCCAGGUAAACUGCAUUCACGAAGCGGUUAGGCCAGGUGUGUCUUCUCUUGGUUCCCAGAGCAAAUCCAAAGCAGCAAGAGACAUUCUUUAGUUUUUAUUCUCUGUACCGAUUUUGUGCUUUAUGUUUUCUUCUAGUUCAUGCCCGGCUUACAAGUUAUUCCCUUGGUGGCAGCAGUGAUAGGAAAUUUGGUUCCAUGGGCUGACAAUUUGGUGGUUUUUAAUAUGUGAUUAUAGAUAUCUACUCUCUGCUGGGUGAGAGGGAACACAGAAUGUGGUUUCUUGGUCUUCUGUGUUUGUAUAUUUGCCUGUUUUGAGCCCAAAAUCAAUUAAGAAUUUAGUACCUUCUGAGAAGAGCAGUUCUUUGCUAAGUGGACUAGUGAUUGCAUGUUUCUGUGUAAUUCAGAAAGGCCUGUACAUCUAGUUGUGUAUGAAAUGUUUUCCUAUUUCCUGUCAAAAAAACCCAUUGCCAGGGAAGAAUGAAGAAAACACAAGAAGACACAAGGGAAAGAUUAGUCCAAAGGACUAAUGAACCAUAUCUACCAUGGCCUCCACCAGACUGAGUCCAGCACAAUUAGAUGGUGCCCGACUACCACCACUGACUGCUCUGACAGGGAUCACAAUAGAGGGUCCUGGACAGAGCUGGAGAAAAAUGUAGAAUAAACUUCUAACUCAGGAAGAAAGAACAGAGUUGCUGGCCUGACAGAGACUGGAGAAGCCCUGAGAGUAUGGCCCCCGGCCACCCUUUCAGCUCAGUAAUGAAGUCACUCCUGAGGUUCACCCUUCAGCCAAAGAUUGAACAGGCCCAUAAAACAAAAUGAGACUAAAGGGGCACACCAGCCCUGGGGCAGGAACUAGGAGGCAGGAGGGGACAGGAAGGCUGGUAAAACAGAACCCAGGGUUGAAAAGGAAGAGUAUUGACAUGUUGCGGGGUUGUUAACCAAUGUCACAGAACAAUGUGUGUACUGACUGUUUAAUGAGAAACUAGUUUGUUUUGUAAACCUUUAUCUAAAGUACGAUCUACCCGUUGCCGUGGAGUAGAUUCUGACUCAUAGCGACCCUACAGGACAGAGUAGAACUGUUUCAUAGGUUUUCCAAGGAACAGCUGGUGGAUUUGAACUGCUGACCUUUUGGUUAGCAGCCAGCUCUUAAUCACUGUGCUACCAGUAUCAAUAAAUUAGAUUAUAGCAGUUCUUAAAUUAACAUCUUCUGAUUGACUGAUAAUAAAAAUAAACAAGUGCUUACCUGAAGUGAAUAUUCCUAAAAUUCACAGAAAAUAAGGAAAUUGAACCUCUCAUGCUUUAAAUGUGCUAGACUUAAAAUUCUUCUUACAGAAAAGCUAACUCAAUUACACUUUAAGAAUCUAAAUUAAAAAAUUAAGGUAAGUCUUUGGCAAAUGAGGCUAGUAUAAUAGGUUUUAAAAAAGUUAUAUCCUCAGUUCAUCAGCGUUAAUAUAAAUGUACCUUUUAUUUUACUUGGGUUUAUUUCCCCUAAACUUAUACAGCUUACUGGUCAAAUAAGCUGAUGUUGUUGUGUUGUUAGCUGCUGUCAGAUCAGCCUCUGACUCAUGACGACCCUCUGCAGAAUCAGACUGUUGGGAUUCAUAGGAUCUUUGCUGGCUGAUUUUCUAAAGUGGAUCACCAGGCCUUUCUUCCUAAUUUAUCAUAGUCUGGAAGCUCUGCUGAAACCUGUUCAGCAUCAUGGCAACACUGAAGCCUCCAUUGGCAGAUGGGAAUUUGAGCCUAGAAUCCAAGAAUUCUACCACGGAGCCACCACUUCCCCCAAGCUAAUAUUAUUCCUGCAUAGUGUUUAAGAUUAUAAAAUACAAUAAAUUUGUGUUCAAUUAAAUUGAACAAUUAUUCUAGCAAACUUUAUAAUCAGUAAUUAUGUUUUGUAGGGUAUUAAAGAGAAUUUCUAAGAUCUUUAGCUAACUUAAAAUGGACUAAGUUGAGCUAACUGAUGGAUAAUCAUUUGAUGUCUUACAUUUCUAAGAAUACUAAAACUUGGAUUACACAGAAUAAUAUUAAGUUUACAUAUGCUCGCUUAUUUUUAUAUGCUACAGAGAGGCUAUUAAUUUUGGGUCAUGUCAAUCAAAGUGUUCACUCUUGCCAUUUGAAAGAGAUGGGAAUUCCAGAACACUUAAUUGUGUUCGUAAGGAACCUUUCCAUAGACCAAGAGGCAGUCGUUUGAAAAGAACAAGGAGAUACUGUGUGUUUUAAAGUCAGGAAAGGUGUGUGUCAGGGUUGUAUCCUUUCACCAUACUUAUUCAAUGUGAAUGCUGAGCAAAUAAUCCAAGAAGCUGUACUAUAUGUAGAAGAAUGGGGCAUCAGGAUUGGAGGAAGACUCAUUAAGAACCUGUGUUAUGCAGAUGACACAACCUUGCCUGCUAAAGUGAAGAGGACCUGAAGCACUUAGUCAUGAAAAUCAAAGACUACAGCUUUCACUAUGGAUUGCACCUCAACAUAAAGAAAACAAAAAUCCUCACAACUGGACCCAUAAGUGACAUCAUGAUAAAUGGAGAAAAGACUGAAGUUGUCAAGGAUUUCAUUUUACUUGGAUCUACAAUCAACAUCCAUAGAAGCAGCAGGCAAGAAAUCAAAUGACAUUUACUGCACUGGGCAAAUCUGCUGCAAAAGACCUCUCUUUAAAGUAUUAAAAAGCAAAGAUGUCACUUUAAGGACUAAGGUGCGCCUGGCCCAAGGCAUGGUGUUUUCAGUCACCUCACACUUACGCGAAAGCUGGACAAUGAAUAAGGAAGACUGAAGAACUGAUGCCUUUGAAUUAUGGUGUUGAUGAAGAAUAUUGAAUGUACCAUGGACUGCCAGAAGAACAAGCAAAUCUGCACUGGAAGAAGUACAACCAGGAUGCUCCUUAGAGGCAGGGAUGGUGACUUCGUCUCUUACACUCUGGACAUGUUAUCAGGGGGGAUCGGUCCCUGGUGAAGGACAUCAUGCUUGGUAAAGUAGAGGGUCAGUGAAAGAGAGGAAGACCGCCAACGAGACAGACUGACAGAGUGGCUGCAAUAAUGGACUUGAACAGAGGAUGGUACAGGACCAGGCAGUGCUUCGUUCUGUUGUACAUGUGGUUGCUGUGAGUCGGAACCCACCUAACAACAACAAAAGCGAUGUAUGUUGAAGUAGAAAUUUGUGUUAUGGGUGUUCAUGGGCUUUUAUAUUGUGCUGAAAUGCUUGUACAUGACAGUCAGUUCUCAAUUAUUCAUUUCCUCCCACCCCCAUUUUUCUCUGUGAAAUAUAAGCUAGUUACUUUGGAUGGUAAUUUUAACUGAAAUGAGUAGCUGAGACUAUGACAGGAGCAAUCAUGCCAAAGAAAUACAGCUGCGUAUGCACUUCAGUUUUUGAAAGAAAAAGAGAAUAGUUUUUUUGUCUUAAAGUGGUGGUUUUCAAACUUUUUGGUCUCAGGAUCUCUUUACAGUUGUAAAAUGUAUUUGUGGAUACCAAAAAGUUUUCAUUUAAACGAAUGAUAACUAUUGGUAUUUAUUGUAUUUGAAAUUAAAACAGAAAUUAAAAAAAAGAUUCAUUUGAAAAAAAGCAAUGAUGAACCCAUUGCAUGUUAACAUAUUUUGUGAAAAAUAGCUAUAUUGUCUAAAACAGAAUUCUUAUGAGAAAAUGACAUUGUUUUACAUUUUUGCAGAUCUUUCUAAUGUCUGGCUUACUAACAGAGAUCCAGAUACUCAUCUCUCGGCAUGUGCUGUGUAUCACGCACCACGUAGCUUCUGGAAAACUCCACUGUAUACUUCUGAGAGAAUGAGAAUGAAAAAGGCAAUUCUAAAGUAAAGUGUCAGUUUGUUCCAGAACAUGAAAGAAAAAAAUGAAAGACAAAACCUGGAAAGGGAAUUUUAUUUGCUUUUGUUUACAAUACUUGAGUCUGAAAAGACGUUAUGGGAUGCAUUAAAAUUUUGGCAAUGUUCCCUUAGUUUUGAUGAGUUGGCUUCCUUGGUUUACUUAUUGAUCAGUGCCUGUGGCUACAAUGAGAAAGGAUAUUCUUUGCCUUCCGUGGAAUCUGCAGAGCUGGCAGAGGUUCUGAGUCUGAUGGAAUUAUUUUCAGUGCUUUAUCUUGAUGUCGGAAACCCUGGUGGCGUAAUGGUUAAUACUACAGCUGCUAGCCAAAGGUCAGCAGUUUGAAUCCACCAGGUGCUCCGUGGAAACUCUACAGGGCAGUUCUACACUGUUCUAUAGGGUCGCUAUGAGUCAGAAUUGACUCAACGGCAAUGGGGUGGGGUAUCUUGAAGUCUAAAGUCCUUGAUUAUUUAAGAAAAACAAACAAAAAAAGCACAAAGGCUCCUCACUUAUGAAAGAGCUAAAUUCUUUAAACUCAUAUCACUUUCCAGAUUUAUCUUUAAAUGUUCCAUGUGGCUUUGAUUACAUGAUAAGCAGGUAUUGUUUCCUGGACACCUGUGCUCCUACCAGAGGUAAGUGCCUGAGCCUCCUCUGGCAGCUCUGUUGGCUAUGCCUUCCCAGGUUGGGUCCUAUAUUCUGAAAAAAUAAAAGUUUAAGAUUUUUUUACACCUAAAAUGAUCUCUGAGAUUUCCCAAAGGGGUCCUAGAAAAGCAUAAAGAUUUGCCCCUUCACCUCACAAAAAGAGAUGCUAUAAAUAACGAGGUUUAUUUGCUGCCUUACCAUGUUAGGAGCUGCAUGUACGGGGCAGCUGUCGGGUCAGAAGAGCGGCCCGGCCUCCCCAGGUGAAGUCUGUACCCAGCUGCCGCGGAGCGCUCAGACUGACGGCGACCCCGUGUGUGUCAGAGGACAACUGUGGUCCACAUGCGUACGGGGCAGGUGUCGGAUGAGAAGAGCGGCCCGGCCUCCCCAGGUGAAGUCUGUACCCAGCUGCCGCGGAGCGGCUCCGACUGACGGCGACCCCGUGUGUGUCAGAGGACAACUGUGGUCCACAUGCGUACGGGGCAGCUGUCGGGUCAGAAGAGUGGCCCGGCCUCCCUCAGGUGAAGUCUGUACCCAGCUGCCGCGGAGCGCUCAGACUGACGGCGACCCCGUGUGUGUCAGAGGACAACUGUGGUCCACAUGCGUACGGGGCAGCUGUCAGGUCAGAGAGCGGCCCGGCCUCCCUCAGGUGAAGUCUGUACCCAGCUGCCGCGGAGCGGCUCCUACUGACGGCGACCCCGUGCGUGUCAGAGGACAACUGUGGUCCACAUGCUUUUCAGGGGCUGCUAUUUUGGGAACAGACUGCCAGGACUUUCUUCGGAGGAGCCUCUGGGUGGACUUCAACCACCAAUUUUUCAGUUAGCAGCUGAGCAUGUUAACUGUUUGCACUACCCAGACCCUGUAUGAGCAAAUGUUAUUAACGUAAGUAUUUCAGAAAUUGUAUGCCUUAUAAGACGACUCUGGAGAUCUGUCAGGGCAGCCCCUGGAUUACGACGGAGUUCUAUUCCUGUCUUUAAGUUGAAUUUGUCCAUAAGUCAGAACAGUUAGGUACGGUUUGUGUCUAACCUCAGUUAAUCAAAUGUUUGUCUUGGUAUGUAGUAUAUAAUGUACCUUUCCAUGCAUAAAAAAUGGUAACGAAACACUUCCAGGUACACUAAAAUAUCUUUAAAACAAUAAUACAGUAAUAACAAUAAUGUUUUGAUAUGUGUUGCAAAGCAGCACCUGUUUGUUAUUACAAACCACUGUAUGUACCUGGAAUUUUUAAUAUAAUAGGCUUUACAGGGGUUAGUUCAUAACUACGGGUACUAUAUAAGUCGGGCGUUCAUAAACCUGGGACUGCCUGUAAUAUAUUUUUACCCUCAGGGGAAACCCUGAUCAAAACUCUUAUGAAAUAGUUAUGCAGGGUACCCCAAUAGGAGGGUACCCACUCUACUCCAUUCUAAUAUUAUUGGUCACUAUAGUAAACUGACCACUAAGCCAUUACAUCUGUCAUCUUACAGACAACUUUCCUGUUACUCUAAUGCUUGCCUGAAGGCUCUGCUCGAAGCCACAGGCUUGUAUGUGACUUAACCAAAGGACGUCUCAGAGUUUCUUGGGAAAGCACGAUACGACCAGCAACCAGAGGAUGGGGCCAGGAAUCACUGAACAAAUUCCGCGGUGAUUCUUUGUGCACAGCAAAGUCUGUGAACUGCUCCAAGGAAACGUGAAGCUUUCUCUGCUCUCGAUCUCAGUCCUCUAAAAUGCAUCCCUUAAGGAAGAAGAGCCUGAUACAGAUCAAGGUUGUGAAGAAUUUGAGGACAAUGACUGAGCCUUUUACUUCUGUGACUGAGAGCAGUGGCUGAGAUCAACCAAGGAGAGCACAGAGUGAAAAGAGGAGAGGGCCCAGGGAGACCCUGGGAUGCCACCACCCACAAAGGAGACAGAGACUGAGAAGGAGGAGGAAAGCUGGGAGAAUGGGUCACCAAAGCCAGAGGAGGCAGUUACAGCAUGUAGGAAUGGCCGCAAGCUGAGGCAUACAGAUCUGAGCUGCAGACUGUCCUGAUGUCAGCACUUGUGUCAGCAGGGGCCGUCACUUCAGGCGAGGUCACCUCACUCCCCUCUGCCUACAGAGUAACCUCGAAGACUUGUGCCUGAGGAAAAAGUCUAUGAGCAUCUUAUUUACACAAAAAAGAAACAAAACAAAACCCCCCAAAACUUUCAAUUGCACAUACCCAAAAUUGCCAUGAAAGAAAGUCAACAGCAAAGUUCCCACCAAAGGACUCCGUCCAGCAAAGGAUACUGCAGGCCCGAGGCCACUGCACUGGUGCGAUAACCUCCCAGGAGCUGUCCACUCUCGGAGCAGUGCCAGGCAAACUGCUUGUCCUGUCCCGUGCUCAGCACCCACUCCAGUUCCAGGACAAACAGGAUCAUCGUCACUCUGCUCUGAUGUGCUGAAAACCAAGACACAAAACAGCCCAUGAAGCAUCUUACAGGAGGUUGUAAAGUGCAGUCCACAAGAGCACCAUUCUCGUCUCCCCACUCCAGAUCAAGCUCCACAGUACGGCAACCACUGCAAACACACGGUCCUCGAUCCAUUCUGAGUUGAUUUUCACAUAUGGCGUGACUCAGGAGGUGAGAAUUAUCUGAUAAACAAGGUAAAUACGGGCUUACUUGUGCUUAUUUACUAACCUGCAGUAAACAAAUUCACAUUUUUCAUCUAAUCAAAGCUUCUGCUUCUAGGUAUGGCUGGCAUCUGUCUCUCUUCCAAGCUCACAGCACCUUCCUACAGAAUAAACACCUGUUUUGAAAUUUACAAUCCCUGUCUGGGCAGAUUACCUAGUAGCAAGAUAAACUAGAGUAGUAAUCAUGCAAAAGUAAGGCCCUGCUUGCCUUGCUUAUCGGGUAAUCUGCCCCUGGGUGUGCGGUAUGAAAAGUAGGAGUCGAAUUUUAUUAUUUUUCCCAAAAGCACAGCCAAUGAUCACAUAACCAUGCUUUGACUAAUUCAUCCUUACCCUGUAGUCUAAAAUGCUGUAUAUUUAAGUAGGAAAUGCUGAUAUUUACACGCCUAUAUUUCUGGAUUCUCUAUUUCAGCCCAUUAUCUAUCCCUCCACUAGUACCAUGUUGUUUUUUUUAUACUUUUUAUUGUGUUUUAAGUGAAAGUUUGCAAAUCAAGUCAGUCUCUCACACAAAAACCCAUAUACACCUUUACACCUUGCUACACACUCCCAAUUACUCUCCCCCAAUGAGACAGCCCACUCUCUCCCUCCACUCUCUCUUUUUGUGUCCAUUUCGCCAACUUCUAACCGCCUCCACCCUCUCAUCUCCCCUCCAGGCAGGAGAUGCCAACAUAGUCUCAAGUGUUCAUCUGAUCCAAGAAGUUCACUCCUCACCAGCAUCCCUCUCCAACCCAUCGUCCAGUACAAUCCACGUCUGAAGAGUUCGCUUCGGGAAUGGUUCCUGUCCUGGGCCAGCAGAAGGUCUGGUGGCCAUGACCACCGGGAUCCUUCUAGUCUCAGUCAGACCAUUAAGUCUGGUAUUAUGAGAAUUUGGGGUCUGCAUGCCACUGCUCUCCUGCUCCCUCAGGGGUUCUCUGUUGUGUUCCCUCUCAGGGCAGUCACUGGUUGUAGCCGGGCACCAUCUAGUUCUUCUGGUCUCAAGACGAUGUAAUCUCUAGUUCAUCUGGCCCUUUCUGUCUCUUGGGCUUGAAAUCACCGUGUGUCCUUGGUGUUCUUCAUUCUCCUUUGAUCCAAGUGGGCUGAGACCAAUUGAUGCAUCUUAGAUGGCUGCUUGCUAGCGUUUAAGACCCCAGAUGCCACUCUUCAAAGUGGGAUGCACAAUGUUUUCUAAAUAGAUUUUAUUAUGCCAAUUGACUUAGAUGUCCCCUGAAACCAUGGUUCCCAGACCCCUGCCCCUGCUACACUGGCCUUUGAAGCAUUCAGUUUAUUCAGGAAACUUCUUUGCUUUUGGUUGAGUCCAAUUGUGCUGACCUUCCCUGUAUUGUGUGCUGUCUUUCCCUUCACUUAA
Molecule: long non-coding RNA, 9025 nt
Organism: Loxodonta africana (African savanna elephant)
Lineage: Eukaryota; Metazoa; Chordata; Mammalia; Proboscidea; Elephantidae
Exons: 5
Source: RefSeq, a predicted model, not a curated record